RNAcentral lists this ribosomal RNA (258 nucleotides) under uncultured bacterium. Its description in RNAcentral is "partial 16S ribosomal RNA". It matches the Rfam family "Bacterial small subunit ribosomal RNA", at positions 524 to 776 of the family's 1533-position model. The record is from RNAcentral.
UACAGAGGGUGCAAGCGUUGUUCGGAAUUAUUGGGCGUAAAGGGCGCGUAGGCGGUGCCACAAGUCACCUGUGAAAUCUCCGGGCUUAACUCGGAGCCUGCAGGCGAAACUGUGGUGCUGGAGUGUGGGAGAGGUGCGUGGAAUUCCGGGUGGAGCGGUGAAAUGCGUAGAGAUCCGGAGGAACACCGACGGCGUAGGCAGCGCCCUGGCUGUGAAUAAAGCUGACACUGAGGCACGAAAGCUGGGGGAGCAAACAGG